GGCAGUGCGGCAGCUAUAAUGCAGUCGACGCUUUUUCUUUCACCGGAGCUUGCUCCACCGAAAGAAAAAGAGUGGCGAACGGGUGAGUAACACGUGGGUAACCUGCCCAUCAGAAGGGGAUAACACUUGGAAACAGGUGCUAAUACCGUAUAACACUAUUUUCCGCAUGGAAGAAAGUUGAAAGGCGCUUUUGCGUCACUGAUGGAUGGACCCGCGGUGCAUUAGCUAGUUGGUGAGGUAACGGCUCACCAAGGCCACGAUGCAUAGCCGACCUGAGAGGGUGAUCGGCCACACUGGGACUGAGACACGGCCCAGACUCCUACGGGAGGCAGCAGUAGGGAAUCUUCGGCAAUGGACGAAAGUCUGACCGAGCAACGCCGCGUGAGUGAAGAAGGUUUUCGGAUCGUAAAACUCUGUUGUUAGAGAAGAACAAGGAUGAGAGUAGAACGUUCAUCCCUUGACGGUAUCUAACCAGAAAGCCACGGCUAACUACGUGCCAGCAGCCGCGGUAAUACGUAGGUGGCAAGCGUUGUCCGGAUUUAUUGGGCGUAAAGCGAGCGCAGGCGGUUUCUUAAGUCUGAUGUGAAAGCCCCCGGCUCAACCGGGGAGGGUCAUUGGAAACUGGGAGACUUGAGUGCAGAAGAGGAGAGUGGAAUUCCAUGUGUAGCGGUGAAAUGCGUAGAUAUAUGGAGGAACACCAGUGGCGAAGGCGGCUCUCUGGUCUGUAACUGACGCUGAGGCUCGAAAGCGUGGGGAGCGAACAGGAUUAGAUACCCUGGUAGUCCACGCCGUAAACGAUGAGUGCUAAGUGUUGGAGGGUUUCCGCCCUUCAGUGCUGCAGCAAACGCAUUAAGCACUCCGCCUGGGGAGUACGACCGCAAGGUUGAAACUCAAAGGAAUUGACGGGGGCCCGCACAAGCGGUGGAGCAUGUGGUUUAAUUCGAAGCAACGCGAAGAACCUUACCAGGUCUUGACAUCCUUUGACCACUCUAGAGAUAGAGC
RNAcentral lists this ribosomal RNA (1002 nucleotides) under Enterococcus casseliflavus. RNAcentral's name for it is "bacterial SSU rRNA". It matches the Rfam family "Bacterial small subunit ribosomal RNA", at positions 38 to 1012 of the family's 1533-position model. The record is from RNAcentral. Lineage: Bacteria; Bacillati; Bacillota; Bacilli; Lactobacillales; Enterococcaceae.